This 863-nucleotide ribosomal RNA is filed under the name Staphylococcus hominis subsp. hominis. RNAcentral's name for it is "bacterial SSU rRNA". It matches the Rfam family "Bacterial small subunit ribosomal RNA", at positions 73 to 918 of the family's 1533-position model. The record is from RNAcentral. Lineage: Bacteria; Bacillati; Bacillota; Bacilli; Caryophanales; Staphylococcaceae.
AAGGAGCUUGCUCCUUUGACGUUAGCGGCGGACGGGUGAGUAACACGUGGGUAACCUACCUAUAAGACUGGGAUAACUUCGGGAAACCGGAGCUAAUACCGGAUAAUAUUUCGAACCGCAUGGUUCGAUAGUGAAAGAUGGCUUUGCUAUCACUUAUAGAUGGACCUGCGCCGUAUUAGCUAGUUGGUAAGGUAACGGCUUACCAAGGCAACGAUACGUAGCCGACCUGAGAGGGUGAUCGGCCACACUGGAACUGAGACACGGUCCAGACUCCUACGGGAGGCAGCAGUAGGGAAUCUUCCGCAAUGGGCGAAAGCCUGACGGAGCAACGCCGCGUGAGUGAUGAAGGUCUUCGGAUCGUAAAACUCUGUUAUUAGGGAAGAACAAACGUGUAAGUAACUGUGCACGUCUUGACGGUACCUAAUCAGAAAGCCACGGCUAACUACGUGCCAGCAGCCGCGGUAAUACGUAGGUGGCAAGCGUUAUCCGGAAUUAUUGGGCGUAAAGCGCGCGUAGGCGGUUUUUUAAGUCUGAUGUGAAAGCCCACGGCUCAACCGUGGAGGGUCAUUGGAAACUGGAAAACUUGAGUGCAGAAGAGGAAAGUGGAAUUCCAUGUGUAGCGGUGAAAUGCGCAGAGAUAUGGAGGAACACCAGUGGCGAAGGCGACUUUCUGGUCUGUAACUGACGCUGAUGUGCGAAAGCGUGGGGAUCAAACAGGAUUAGAUACCCUGGUAGUCCACGCCGUAAACGAUGAGUGCUAAGUGUUAGGGGGUUUCCGCCNCCUUAGUGCUGCAGCUAACGCAUUAAGCACUCCGCCUGGGGAGUACGACCGCAAGGGUUGAAACUCAAAGGAAUUGACGGGG